GGAUGUAAUCAUUCCAGUAGUAAACCAACGGAGCCCAUCAGAACUCCAAAGUUAAGUGUGCUUGGGCGAGAGUAGUACUAGGAUGGGUGACCUCCUGGGAAGUCCUUGUGUUGCAUUCC
This is a non-coding RNA of Triticum aestivum (bread wheat), 119 nucleotides long. The record is from Rfam. Lineage: Eukaryota; Viridiplantae; Streptophyta; Magnoliopsida; Poales; Poaceae.